Molecule: ribosomal RNA, 1930 nt
Filed under: Amphidinium carterae
Lineage: Eukaryota; Dinophyceae; Amphidiniales; Amphidiniaceae
Description: partial Eukaryotic large subunit ribosomal RNA
Rfam family: Eukaryotic large subunit ribosomal RNA
Source: RNAcentral
UGGCAAGUAAACCCGCUGAAUUUAAGCAUAUAAGUAGGUGGAGGAAAAGAAACCGAAUGGGAAUCUCUUAGUAAUGGCGAAUGAAAGGAGAUGUGCUUAGUGUCAAAAUCAGAUCUGUCUGACUUGUAGGCUGUAGGGGCUUUGCCAACUUGGGUGCAGGUGCAAGUCUCUUGGAAAGGAGCACCAGUGAGGGUCAAGGUCCCGUCUGGCAUCUGUCAUCCCUUGUAGACGGUCUGCCCAUUGAGAGUCGUGUUCUUCUGGAGUAGAGCGCCAAUUGGGUGGUACUCUUUGCCCAAGGAGGAUUACGUGCUUGAGACCAAUAGUGAACAAGUACCAUGAGGGAAGGGUGAAAAGGACUUUGGAAAGAGGGUUAAGAGGGCAUGAAGCUGCUGGAAGGGAAGUGGAUUGGACUUUUACAUUGCAGCAAGAUUGCAGGCUGUGAUCUUCACUUGUGGAGCAUCGCGUCUUGUGUCUCUUGCCGCUCGGUUGGGUUUUGCGUUGCGCGCCCAGAAUCUAAGCUUUGACUGGCAGAAGGAUCGCGAUCUGGACCAUGUCAUUGCCAACUUUUGGCGUAGCAUUCAACCUUGACCAAAAGGUUCAAUUUUACCCGUCUUGAAACACGGCCCAAGGAGUCUAUUGCGUGUGCAAGUGCAAGGGCAUCACACCCGACAGCUCAACAAAGGUGACUGCUGGGAUCUCUGCACCAGCAACCAACUGAUCGCUUAGGAGAUGUUUGUGUAUGAGCACACUUGCUAGGACCCGAAAGGUGGUGAACUAUGCCUGAGAAGGGUGACGUCAGGGGAAACUCUGAUGGAAGCUCGUAGCGCUACUGACGUGCAAAUCGUUCGUCUGACUUGGGUAUAGGGGCGAAAGACUAAUCGAACCAUCUAGUAGCUGGUUCCCUCCGAAGUUUCCCUCAGGAUAGCUGGAGCAGAACAGUUUUAUCAGGUAAAGCGAAUGAUUCGAGGCAUUGGGGGUAUGUUACCCUUGACCCACUCUCAAACUUUUAAUGGGUAAGCUCCACUGGUUGCUUAGGUGACGCAGGGGGAGGAAUAACAGCUCUAAGUGGGCCAUUUUUGGUAAGCAGAACUGGCGAUGAGGGAUGAACCUAGCAUUGGGGUAAAGUGCUUGACUGCUCGCUCAUGUGACACCACAAAGGGUGUUGGUUCAUACUGACAGCAGGACGGUGGUCAUGGAAGUUGAAAUCCGCUAAGGAGUGUGUAACAACUCACCUGCCGAAUGGACUAGCCCCGAAAAUGGAUGGCGCUGAAGCGGGUGACUGAUACCCAAUCAUGGCUGCAAGCACAGUAGCUUUGAGUAGGAGGGCAUGGUGGUUGCAGUGCAGCCCACACGUGAGCAAGGGUGAAGGAACUUCCAGUGCAGAUCUUGGUGGUAGUAGCAAUUUUUCAAAUGAGAGCUUUGAAGACCGAAGAGGAGAAGGGUCCCAUGUGAACAGAAUUUGGACAUGGGUUAGUCGAUCCUAAGAGUCUGGGUCCUCUGUGAAAGCAGGCUUUGCUGCAAUACUCGAAAGGGAAUGGGGUUAACAUUCUCCAACCAGGGUGCGGAAUUUGUGCGGUGACGUUGGCUUCGUUUGGUGACGCGGGGGGGAGCCCUUGGAAGCGAUGUCUUUUCUUGUUUACCCCUCCACACCCUGGAAACAGUCUGCCUGGGGAUAGGGUUGGUUGGUGGGUAUAGCACUUCGCCCUCAGAGGUGUCUGGUGAGCUCCUCACUGCCCUUGAAAAGCUGAACGUAGCGUUUUUCGUCCCUGUUCGUACCCAUAGCCGCAUCAGGUCUCCAAGGUUAGCUGCCUCUGGUCUCUAGGGCAAAGUAGGUAAGGGAAGUCGGCAAAGUAGAUCCGUAACUUUGGGAAAAGGAUUGGCUCUGAGGGUUGGGCCUAGGGGUCUCUUGGUUAAUAUUGCGGCUGCUAGA